RNAcentral lists this ribosomal RNA (464 nucleotides) under uncultured bacterium. Its description in RNAcentral is "partial 16S ribosomal RNA". It matches the Rfam family "Bacterial small subunit ribosomal RNA", at positions 338 to 795 of the family's 1533-position model. The record is from RNAcentral.
CCUACGGGUGGCAGCAGUGGGGAAUAUUGCGCAAUGGGCGAAAGCCUGACGCAGCGACGCCGCGUGAGGGAUGAAGGUCUUCGGAUCGUAAACCUCUGUCAGCAGGGAAGAACGGUCACUGUGCUAAUCAGCAGUGAAUUGACGGUACCUGCAAAGGAAGCACCGGCUAACUCCGUGCCAGCAGCCGCGGUAAUACGGAGGAUGCGAGCGUUAUCCGGAUUUAUUGGGUUUAAAGGGUGCGUAGGCGGGCUUUUAAGUCAGCGGUAAAAAUUCGGGGCUCAACCCCGUCCGGCCGUUGAAACUGGGGGCCUUGAGUGGGCGAGAAGAAGGCGGAAUGCGUGGUGUAGCGGUGAAAUGCAUAGAUAUCACGCAGAACCCCGAUUGCGAAGGCAGCCUUCCGGCGCCCUACUGACGCUGAGGCACGAAAGUGCGGGGAUCGAACAGGAUUAGAUACCCCAGUAGUC